Molecule: non-coding RNA, 345 nt
Organism: Eubacterium sp. CAG:581
Lineage: Bacteria; Bacillati; Bacillota; Clostridia; Eubacteriales; Eubacteriaceae
Source: Rfam
GGGGGUGUAAAGGUUUCGACGGGGGUUUUGAACCUUAGUAAGCGAGUAGUGGCGUAGGACCACUUAUAACCUACAACUUUUUAAAUUAAACGACAACAAUAAAGUUGCUCUAGCUGCUUAAUGCAGCUUGUCCUCUUUAAGAUUACCACGACUUAAUCAGGGCAUCAUUUAGUGGUAAAUGUGAACAUUGGAGUGUUCCGACCAUUGUCACACAUUAGGAACUACUAAGCAUAGUAGCCUGUUUGUAGGCGACUAUGUAAGGGAAUGUUAAUAUACAAACUACACUCGUAGAAAGCUUUGGGAAUAGAUUUUCGGACAGGGGUUCGAUUCCCCUCACCUCCACCA